Molecule: non-coding RNA, 214 nt
Filed under: Ruminiclostridium cellulolyticum H10
Lineage: Bacteria; Bacillati; Bacillota; Clostridia; Eubacteriales; Oscillospiraceae
Description: Clostridium cellulolyticum H10 6S / SsrS RNA
Rfam family: 6S / SsrS RNA
About the family: E. coli 6S RNA was the first non coding RNA to be sequenced, but its function was unknown until recently. It consists of 184 nucleotides that fold into an extended hairpin structure with a large single-stranded internal bulge.
Source: Rfam by way of RNAcentral
GUUAUCCUGAAAUGAGCGAAUGAACCCUUUUAUUUUGAACCUACAUCUUUCAUAAGGGAGUCUGCUGUCUGGUAUACGAUGCCAGGCCUUAGGUAAUUCCGACAUACGGCGUGAACGUUGUGCAACGGCGAAGGAAGGCUGAAGAUACCACCGGGACACCCACCUAGCGUUGGGCUAGGUGUCAAAAUACUGGGGACGCCAUUUUGGGAGUAAC